Molecule: ribosomal RNA, 509 nt
Filed under: uncultured Candida
Lineage: Eukaryota; Fungi; Ascomycota; Saccharomycetes; Saccharomycetales
Description: eukaryotic LSU rRNA
Rfam family: Eukaryotic large subunit ribosomal RNA
Source: RNAcentral
AAACCAACAGGGAUUGCCUCAGUAACGGCGAGUGAAGCGGCAAAAGCUCAAAUUUGAAAUCCCCCCGGGGAAUUGUAAUUUGAAGAUUGUGUUUUGGAAACGACCGUGUCUAUGUUCCUUGGAACAGGACGUCACAGAGGGUGAGAAUCCCGUGCGGCACGGCCACCGUUUCCUUAUAAAACACUCUCGACGAGUCGAGUUGUUUGGGAAUGCAGCUCAAAGUGGGUGGUAAAUUCCAUCUAAAGCUAAAUACAGGCGAGAGACCGAUAGCGAACAAGUACAGUGAUGGAAAGAUGAAAAGCACUUUGAAAAGAGAGUGAAACAGUACGUGAAAUUGUUGAAAGGAAGGGCAUGCCGUCAGAUUGUCAGUGUGGGUAAGAAGCGGGGUACAAAGACUGUGGAACGUGGCCCUCGGGUGUUAUAGCCACAGUUCAUCCCUGUCUCUUUCCGAGGCCUGCUUUGAGGACACCGACGUAAUGACGGUACGCCGCCCGUCUUGAAACCACGGA